This 897-nucleotide ribosomal RNA is filed under the name uncultured archaeon. Its description in RNAcentral is "bacterial SSU rRNA". It matches the Rfam family "Archaeal small subunit ribosomal RNA", at positions 21 to 904 of the family's 1478-position model. The record is from RNAcentral.
CCCGACUGCUAUUUGGGUGAGAAUAAGCCAUGCGAGUUGAAUGGAAUACCUAAAUUUUCCAUAGCAAACUGCUCAGUAACACAUGAUCAACUUACCCUAUAGAGAAAAAUAACCUCGGGAAACUGAGGAUAAUGUUUCAUAGUUGAAAAGGCUUGGAAAAGUUUUUCAAUAAAAAGGAUAAGAAAAAUGGUUCUUAUCCGCUAUAGGAUAGGAUCGUGCUCGAUUAUGGCUGUUGGUGAGGUAAUGGCUCACCAAACCAAUAAUCAAUAGGGGCCGUGAGAGCGGGAGCCCCGAGAUGGGUACUGAGACAACGACCCAGGCCUUACGAGGUGCAGCAGGCGCGAAAACUCCGCAAUACACGAAAGUGUGACGGGGUUACCCAAAGUGCUUAAUUUUUAAGCUGUGGUAAGUGUGUAAUGUACCUUACUAGAAAGGAGAGGGCAAGGCUGGUGCCAGCCGCCGCGGUAAAACCAGCUCUUCAAGUGGUCGGGAUAUUAUUGGGCUUAAAGUGUCCGUAGCUUGUAUAAUAAGUUCCUGGUAAAAUCUAAUAGCUUAACUAUUAGUAUGCUAGGAAUACUGUUAUACUAGAGGGCGGGAGAGGUUUGAGGUACUUCAGGGGUAGGGGUGAAAUCCUAUAAUCCUUGAAGGACCACCAGUGGCGAAGGCGUCAGACUGGAACGCGCCUGACAGUGAGGGACGAAAGCCAGGGGAGCGAACCGGAUUAGAUACCCGGGUAGUCCUGGCUGUAAACGAUGCACACUAGGUGUUGGUAUGGCUAUGAGCCAUAUCAGUGCCGAAGGGAAACCAUUAAGUGUGCCGCCUGGGAAGUACGGUCGCAAGGCUAAAACUUAAAGGAAUUGGCGGGGGAGCACCACAAGGGGUGAAGCCUGCGGUUCA